Long non-coding RNA from Prinia subflava (tawny-flanked prinia), 11471 nucleotides. RefSeq lists it as uncharacterized. NCBI's taxonomy places the organism in Eukaryota, Metazoa, Chordata, Aves, Passeriformes, Cisticolidae. The transcript is spliced from 11 exons. The record is from RefSeq and is a predicted model, not a curated record.
GCUUAUUGUCUUGCAUCCAAACAACUGGUCCCUGUUUUCAGCUCAGCUGCUGCCUGUUUAACUCCUUUGUUACUGGAAAUAUAUCAUGGAACCAGGGAGAAUUAAACACUGCUGAUGAUUGGAUACAGCCUUUCCCUGCCGCAGGGUCCUUUGUGUUUUCCCACAAAAAAAUCAGAAAAAGCAGGAACAUGCCAAACAUGGUGGAUUCCUAACAUGUCUAGUGAAAAGAAGAAAUCCAAUUGAAAGAAUUUAUGCAGUUGACAGGCUGAAAGAGCUCUGGUGGAGAUGCUCUUGUCUCUGAAGCUUAUACCUGAUAAGAAAGGAAAAUUCCAAGAGAUGGAAAAGACUUCCUUCUGUUUCAGCUGCCCAGUUUUUUGAUAUUGUUCAAAAGAUGAUUUCUCAGGCAGAUAUUACUUAGUUUUCAGUCAUAUUGUUCUUAAAAUACACAAGAAAUUCUUAGUGAAGACCAUCAAUGAAAAGAAAAGACUACGGAUCACUUGAAUAUACAGGCUCCAGUUAGGAUGCAUGCAGAUGGAUUUACCCUGGAGUGGGCUGUCUGCUGCAAGGGCUGUCUACAGCUUCAAGUUGCAUUGUGUGUAAAUCCAGCCAGACUGCAAGGCCUCUCCCUCUCUUCUGUCCCACAGCACUACUUGAUAUGUUGAUGCUAAGAGGCUGAAGUCCCUUCUGCUGCAGUUUGCCUCUGUGUGACAAGUCAAAUUCUCUGGGAUUCUCAGGAUUCUGACAGGCACCACACACAUUUCUUUUCCUGACCUACAAUGCUAUCUCUCAGGCUGUUCCUGCAACUCAGCUGAGACAUGCUCCUGUACCCUUUGGAUACCAUGGAAAACACCCUGCAGGCCUUGGGCACUUUUGAAGACAAUGUUUUGCAGAAGAAGCAGCAGAGAGACAGCUUUGAAGAACAUUGCUUUGAGGGCUGCAAGCUGGCACGUUGGAAAUGAAUGUAGAUGCUGGUGUACAGAAGCAGGAGUGUGGUUUUCUGAAGAAAUGAGGCUUAUACAGUUGCCAUGGCUGUCUGUCCAUCUGUUGGUCCCCCUCCUCCACCGCUCCUCCACGUAACUUUUCAAACUGUCAGCAAAUUUCAGCCAGUAUGGAAAGAGAGGAAAAACUCUCAAAGACAUUACCAUUUUUAUGAAUUUCAUGAAGUCUGGUGGAAAUUUUCCAAAGGCUUGAUUAAUGCCCCCUCAAGGUGAGGCUAACAGCUUUCCAAAAUCCCAGAUCUGUUGGAGAUUUUAUCCAUUCUUUCCUUGGAAGUUGAGGAUCCCAAGCACUUUCCCAAACUGAUUGAUGCCACCUCUCAUAAAUCCAGAUUCUGCUUUGUCUACUGAAUGGGGAGUGGAUCAUUCGUGGAGCACAAGUGCUGCCAGUGGUGACCAAAAGCUUUGGUAACCUAACCAGCCUCUGAAAUCCCUGCUGAGGUACCCAUGAGUACUGUGAGAGCACCUUGAUGGCAGGCAGCACUUGGAGUUGUCAUCAGCCUCUGGUGCUUUAGUGCUUCUUCAGGCAAGUGAUGCAAGCACUUGUGUGUGAGAACAGACAUCCUUUCCCUGCCUCUGCUGUAAAAGCUAUGCAGACACAUGGGUGAGCUCAAUUCCCCCGCUUUUCAGGCCAACAAGCAUUUCAGGGACAGCUUCAAAGGCAUGUAAGCUCAAAGUUGUGAGAAGGUGGGUACAGGAAAUCAGAUUUACUGUCUAGUCUUAGAAAAAUUAGAAUAAUUUUUUUCUGUUUUCAUCAGGAUUUUUUUCGUUAAAAUAGAUAAGAAACUAUUUUUUUUUAAUAAGAAACUUGAAGAUUAAUGCUUAAAAUAAGCUACAAUUCCUAUGAGAAUGGCCUAUCUGGAGCAGCUGGGUUUGUAGCCUCAAGGGAGAGGCUGGAGAAAGUCAAGGGAAAACCAGGAGUACAUGAUUGUUUCUGUAUUGAUUCCCAGAUCUGUUUGCCAUCAAUGCUAUCAUUGUGGUGGUGACAUGGACUGUUACAGCUAAGAGCAAAGAAUGCACAGAGUAAGGGGGUUUGGCUCAACAGCUUGAAAUACUCAAAGGUUUAGUGUUUUGAGUAAGGAGAUAAUCCAAAGCCUAUAAAGGCAGAAGAAAAACAGCCUUUGGCUCCAGUGGGCAUUGCAUCAGGCCUUCAGAUGACUGGCAAUCAGCAGACUUCAUACUGUGUAAUUCUGUAUGAAAGAAGCAUUAGUUCUCUGACAUACAAUCAGCUGAGGAGGAAUAAGACAUGCUGUGUCUUUGCAACUCGCCCUUCUGGCCAGCAGACAUCCCUGUCACUGCAGGCAAUGUAGAUGUUCUUGCACAACUGGUGGAAAGACAUCUAGCUCUGCUUUACAGUGGCUGCUUCCUGCUAAGCCAUCACCAGAGAAAGAAUUAGCAGAGAUUCCACUGUCACACAGCUCAAAUCUGAACCCUGGGUUAUUUUUAAACGAGCACAGUAAAGAGACUGAAGACCCCCCCUGUGAAUUGGGGGAUUGGUUUUUCUAAACUGGAGGGCGAAUGUCAGAAGAUCAGAUUACAAGUGUCUACCCGUGUGCUUUCACUGUGUGGUGGCUCACCUGGAGUUCAGGCUCUGUAAAUUGCAAGGAGGUAGUUCCAGGGCAGUUUAAGCACUUCAGCAAUUCCUAGCAGUGGUGGUCUCAAUUUGGGAAGGCUUUCCUGACAUAUCUGAAAGCCAAAAGCUUCUUUGCUAAUUUAAUAAAGAAGAGUGAACCAGUGGGCAAGUCCCUAGAAGAUAGACUAAAUCAGGUUAAUUUGUUAUAUAAUCCCUUUUUAAUGUGGAGAAUUAGGGUGACGGCAAGACGACUACAUGGUUAAUUCUCCAAAUAAUUACUGGCAGGUAUUGACAUUAAAGGUGGGAGAGAGAAAGUUAAUUUCUGCUUGUUGUUUUCAGCACGUGCCACACUCUUACUUCACAGCAGUGAGAAAAGGCUGGAAGUUGUAUAUUCUAUGUGCAUGAAGUAACAGUUGGCACAAAUCACGAAAAGGAGAAAAUUAAAAACCACUGAAGCCUAGCAACCCAAACUGCCACUUGCUGGUAAGGUCUGCUAAAAAAAAAGAUAAAUUAAAAAAAAAAAAAAGAAAAAAAAAAAAAAAGAAAAAAAAGGUGGCCUCAAACAGAGUAAUUUCACUUGAGUAAACCUGGGUGUCUGGUUAGGUCCUCCUCCAUGUAAAUAAUGUGUGAAAAGGCAGCAAUAACCUCGAUUUUCCAACCUCCUCCUCCUCUACACCUUUGUGAAGUGCCCUCAUGGGCAGCCCCAAGUGAGGCAGAGGAGGAUGACAGCACUUGACUCAGUUUGGUCCUUUCUUCUGCUGGCACUCUUGGCCAUGAAAAACCUAUUCUUCACCUUUGAUAGGAAUGGAGGUGCUUGGAGCUGCUCUGCCAUGUAAAUCACGAUAAUGGAGUUUUAUAUCUUCCCUUUUGCUGGCAUUAUUGAAUUUGACCCAAAACAGCGGGAGGAAGCUGUUUCUGCACCACCUGGCUCUAACUCAUGUGUCCCUACAUAGGCCUGGGAUAUCUUUGGUAUUUAUGCCAUGGCUGCCAGUGCUCCAGAGGCACAAACAGGUUCUACUGUCCUGCCCAGCCCUCUGCUCAACCUGCCCAAGGACCUGCUGCCCAUGUCAGCUCCCUGAGCCCACCUACCUCAGUGAUGCUGCAGCAGGGCCAGGCUCCAGCUGCCCACAGCCCUGCCUGGCCAGGGCCCCACAGAGCCAGACCCACAUCCCAUCCCGUCAUCACAGCCCGUGUGGUGCCCUGGCAAUGGCCAUGGGUUACAGGAGUUUUCCCACAUGCUUUCUGUUCAAGAUGAUGUCCUUUGCUCACAGGAUUCCAUAACCAUCUACGUCUUCCCUGUCAUUUGCAUAAGUACACAUGUGAGUAUACUUAUGGAGAGUCAAGCCAUGUGUAUGAAAUAUGGGAUAGAGCAUACAGAAGUGUUAUAUAUUGUUACUCUGAAGUUGCCUCCCUGUCCUGCAAUCUCCCUUUCUCCUCCCUUUCCCCUUUAGUUUGAUGCCUACGGGGAAGAAGAGAAGCUGGGGGUGAAGUGAGGCAGCCUGUAAAGUAAGGACUGACUGGCAGAUUCAUAUCAGGAAUUAAUUUCAGCAUGUUUCAUAUCAAAUCACUCAGGAAUCACAAAAGUUUACUCCUUUACUCCUAUUUUGUUGAUGGCUAAAAUAUUACUUUUAAGCAAAAGUUUUUGUGUUCAAAUCACUCCCUCAUUUUAUUUUUAAAGAAAGAAUCUGUUUUGCAGUUUGACAUGUUUCUUGUUUUCAGACUGUUGAUUUUCUGUGUGGUUAGCUCUAGGCUUCCUACAACUGACAGCUUAUUAUCUCACCUUAUGAAAAUUAUGCAUGACUUCUGGGACUCAUCUAUCAAAAGGAGAGAGCACACAACACUCUGAGAGGCUGGUACCUUCUCUCUAGUUAUCCAGGUUGAUGGUUGUUCAGUGAACCUAUUAACUACCUGGAGUGGCUUGCAUCUUUACAGCAAAAGAAAGGAGCCAGAAAACUGCUCUCACCGAUAAAGCCUGGAGAAGUCAUUCUGUAAAGGAAUAGCUUGGCUUGGGCAGCCCCGGGCCCCUGCUCUGCUCCUCGUGCUGACAGCAUAGCCGAGCGCCUCUAGGAGUGUGGACACCCAAAAUCUCGGGCUGUUGGCAGGGGCUAAGUGGCUUGGCUCUGCAGAGGAGCCCUGUGGCUGCUGUCUUACCAGCUGCUGGCAGUUCUGGACAAGCUGCACUUGUGCCCCUAUGCCACCCUGAUUUUAAAUGUGGCCAUCUGACAUGGCUAAAACUGCGGUGAACAACUGGACUACUUUUUUGACGUGUGACUUUUAAAUUGUGUGGGUAAUGAUGGACAAAGUCAAGUCACAGAGGAAUGGCACUAGUCAGCCACCUUGGGAAUCCCUCUUUCUGAACAUGGGUGGUAUCUUUUGUGGCACUGCUUUGCUGUUUUGUGCAAAUUCCCAGCUCUUUAGAGAUCCAGUCGAUUAUCAGACAAAAGAACCCUCACAUUGUAUGCCAGUCUGGGUACAUACUUGAUGUGAAUGAAUACAAAGACCUAUUCAUCACUCCUAGUGCUCACAUAACUGACACAUUAAAUCACUCUCUGGCUGUGAAGAUGACAGUGGCCCAAUAGCUAAUGCUGUCUAACAGCCUCCAUUAGAAGACCUUGUUUCUGAUUGUUUAUAAUUUUGUCAGACUUCAGCUGCUUGAGCUGGAUUUUCCCAUGCCAUAUGUCACCAGAAACUGAAGGUUUGUGUGUGGAAGGUCCUAGAUGAAUAGUCAUGGUGUUGCCAAGCUCAUGUAUCACUGAAAAGUCAAUUGAACACAAAUUUUUAGGGAGUAACUCUUCAUUUCUCCUCUCUUGAGGGAGAAGGAAAAACAUCUGGAGUUAUAUGCUCCCCAGUGGGUUGUGUUCAGGCUGAAGUUGAAGUUGCUGCUAAACAGCCUGAAUAUAAGAAGUUUCAUGUCAAAGGCUGUCAACUUGCUGGAUAUUGUUGACUUUUAACCUUGUGCAAUGCUUUUUGAGGCUGUAGUUAGUCCACUGACAUACUUAGUUCCAUAUUGUGCCCAUGCUUUUGAUAGAAGUUGCUUUAAGCAGGCUGAGAUUAUGCUACCAGGGAGCACAGCUAAUGGCUUCAGUUUGAGCACAUCUCGUGUUUGUGUAUGUGUGAUGGCUGUAUAGCUCUCCUCUGCUCAACCUUUUCCUUCUUUACUGCUGUCCAGCUGUUGUAUUUCUGGCCAGCAAUCCCUGUCAUAUAGGAUUAAGAGCAGAUUUUCAAAUCUCCAUGCUGCUCUGAAUAUCAGGCUGAAGUUGCUAGUUCCGAGACAUGAAUUAGCUUUGCAGCUUUUAGAAUGACUUUUAUUUGGCCCCCUGAAUCAAUGUUGGUACUUUUUCCUCUGCAUUUCCAAACAGUACUGCAGAGGUCAACAGGAAGAGCUUUUAGGCUGAACAGUCCCUAGGUGAGGUGGUUGUGUUGGGAGGACAGUUGGUGACCAGAAAUAAGUGGUAUGGGUGUGGGUCACAGGAGGGAUGGGGCUAGAGGACCUUAAAUAUAUCUGAGAAUUGUCUGUAUUUCUAUGAGUAAUAUCUAUCCAUGACAGCUCAAUUGCACAUUGGGUGGAAAUGUGCUGUCUGGCCUGCAGCCUAUAUAACCCUUUCCCAUUCCCUACAGAGACUUUUAUUAAGUGAGCUUUACAAGGACCUAGAAAGGACCUCUACCUGUCACAGGAAUUGAAAAGGACAAUGUAAGGUCCCCAAGGGGAGUUUUUCCUUAACCAUUAUACAAACCAGAAAAUUUCCAUAACUCAGUAAAAACUGUGCUAUGUCUUCCCAAACUGGGCAAUUUGAAUUGUAGGAGCUAUUGCCUAGGAACUCUCUAGAGGCAGACUUUAUAACCACACAGAAUAUUUUCAUUUAACUACCUGCACUACUGGACCAUCAUAUGAUUUAGAUCUCUGACAAACCUGAACUCCCAUUAAACUAGAUAGCUUGGGUCCAUUAUCCCAGGAAGACUGUUCAGGGUGGCCUGCCAACAGCAGCUGGCUCUGACUGAGCUCUGCUUCUAGAGUGGGUUUUGCAGCCUGCUGUGGUCUGUAAUGGCAGUGCCAUGGUGUUGCCAUACCUUGGCUGGCUAAUUUAAUGCUUUAGUUUGGUGUGUCAAUGCCAUGCUGCAGUUUCAAUAAGGUCUGUGGUAGAGACACAUCUGCAGUCAGAAAUUGUCAUCAUUCUGCACUGCCAGCAUGGUGUAAUACACUGCACAGAUCCUCAAGCCAAGGUUUUAGAAAAUUGAUCUGGAUCCUAUAAACAUUUUAACGGGCGGAAGCAAAAAUACUUGCAUGACCUGACAGGUUUUUUUGUCUCUUAGUGGUCUUUUCCCUUAGUGACAAUAAAAGCACUUUAUAUUUUUGCUGCAAUGGAAAGAUCAUGUAUUAUAUAGAUCCCACUGAACAAUAUUCAGCAAGCUGCAAAUGUCUUUAAAUUUCCAUUAUAAACUUGACUUUAUUCCUGUUCUUCCCUAUGCCAAAGUUAGCCCUAUCCACCUACAACUUCACAGGCAUAAUCUUAUUCUGGGACAGAUUUUUUGGAAGAGUUGAAGGAAACUGGUCAAGGUGUUUAAGAGAGAUGAUGGCUAAAAAAAAUGAGUUCAUCUGCUUGGAGAGUUUCCUAAAGACUUUUUGGCUUGUCAAAUCCUGAAAAUUCAUUUCCCUAGAAAUUCAAAAAAUAUUUCAGAUCUGUUGGUCUUGGCUAAAAAUGGUGCCUUGGAACAGUUUUAGGCUGUCUGGUGACAGAAUUAUUUGGUUACUGAAAGUGGUCCCUGCCUCCAUGUGUUAUGUGCUCUUUGGAGAUCUUAAUUCAACUAGUCAAUACCAAUGUGCUUAUAAAUUUAUGGUGGCAAUGUAAGGUUUCUAAACAACUCUGCAUGUAUCCUGAACAGCCAUAUUCCUUAUCUGAGACUGGUCCUGUCUGCAGGUGCUGCUGUCUAAAAUCCUCACCUGAAUGUUCCCUGAUUCCCACUGCAAUCCAUGCUGAAACCGACAGCCUGGCUUCACAGUCCCUUCUGCACAGUCCCUGGAGGCCUUUUUCAAAGUUCAGUCUACUCAUCUCAGUGGUUUUUACUGGGUCAAAAAAUUCAUACCUGCAAUGAUUUGUGCCAAUAUGGCUGCAAGACACACAUGAUGAGACUUACGCCAAUAUUAUUUUUCAGUGUGUUUUGGGGCUUACUUGUGGUUUGAUGACAAAGUAAGUUCUGAGGCAUAAUAUUCUAUUCUUAAAGAGAAUUUAUUGCAAAAUAUGUGCUUAGAACUUUCUCAUAAUUGGGAAAUUUUUAUUUAUGGUUUUUGAAGUAUGAUCAAAACCACAGGCAAACAUUCAUUAGAUUAUUUUCAGCAUCUCUUACUUUAAGAAGAAUGUGACAUCUGCAAACCAUACAGUUCUGCUAUACCACUGCAAUGAUGUGGCCUCCCUGGAUGAUUCCCUUAGCUUGCACUGAAAGCUAUAGCAGAGCAAUGGGAACAGUAAAGACUGCCCAGCACGUACCAUUGACAAUGGGACAUGGAACAUGUUCCGUGACACCUUGGGUUUGGUUAAUAAUGUUCCCAGACUUUGGCAUUUAAGCCUUGAUUGUUCUGAGCUCUGGACCUCAGUUGGUUUCACUGUUGUUGAAGCCAAGUCCUUGAUCUACAAAUUGCUGGAGCCUUGUAUGUAUUUGGGAGAAGUAUAGACAUCAUUUUUUCUCUAUUUAUUAUUCCAUCAGCACCUGUUAUUGACCACAAUUUGAAGCAAGCACUAGGGCUAGACGGACCUCAGUUUUGACUCAGUAUGGAUGUUCUCACACUAUAUUCUCAAUGCCAACAAAAAUAGUUGACUAUUGGUUGAAAAUAGGUCUAGGAAUUUACUAUGUCAUUUUAAAGACUUAACAGUCUUUACUGUUUCAUUUUGGGGGGUUUUGUUUAUUUCUCUCUGUGCUCUGAAGCUAGGACUUGAAUCCUAAAUGAAGCAUUGUCUUGUAGUCAAAGUGUUUCCUUCUGGCUCUUAACAGUCACAUUUUGAAUGUGCUCAGUAGAAACUAGGAAGGGUUUUGCACCUAGAUGCAGGUGACAGUGAUCAUACCCUGACAGGAGUGAGCAGGAGGCUGCUGGUUGGAGACUGCUCUGCCAAUACAGCACAGGAACUGAGUACAGCAGGAUUGUCUCACUGGCCAUUGUCUUCUGGGACUGAAAAAUGGCCUGACUGGAAGGCAGAAUUACUGAGUAAGUUUACAGGAGAAACUUUUCAAGAAGGAAAAUGGGUUAUGAUGGUAAAAAGAAGAGAUGGAAAACUGGUAUCUAGGUGGAUUAGUGGAAAACUGGAGUAUGGCUGGCUCCAUGAUAGUCUGCAGAGAUGAUAAAGAGAAGAGGAAGGCCUUACAGCAGAGAGAGAGAGAGGGACAGUCUGUGUGAUAUUGGGGAAGAUUCCUCAGAGCUGAGCUGAGGAAUUCCUGGAGCUGAGCACAGACUUCCUCUGGCCAGGUCCUGUGUUCAGCUCUCAGCUGGGCAUCCCAUCAUAAGAGAUUUCUCCUCCCAAGUCAAGUCUACACAGAUACUGAGAGUCAUUGACUCACUCUGAGAUAGGCUUUCACCAGAGGAAAUCUGGAAAAGUCAUUAAUUCCACCUUUCUAUCCCACAACCAAGUUGCAAUCAUGUCACCCCAAGCUGCAGUAUUUUAUCAUUGAUACAGAAGUUUUGUCCAAUGUCUAAUCUAGAUCUCCCAAGAUGUUUGGUUUAUGCUUCUUAAUGAUUUAUUCUUCCUGAUCUUUCCAUCAGGAACAUAUUAGUUCCCUAUGCUUUGCAACAGCUUUUUCGUUGAAGAAUAUUAACCUUCUAUCUCUGUUAUUACUUCAGAGAAAAAAAGACAUUUCUUGCAGCCUUUCCUCAUGUUUUCUGGACAUGUCAAUUUUUGUUGACCUCCCCUGCCGACCGUUUCAUCUCUUACUUGAAGUACAGUGCACUAAACAGGUUGUGGUCUUCCAGGUGAAUCUUUACCUAUGGGAAUCAGCCCACACGGGCUCUUUCAGUAGUCUUUAAGACCCUUUAAACAUCCUGAUGUGAGGGAUUUGCCCUUCAUGCUCAGCUUGUUCUAAUAUAGUCCCUGGUAUUUUCUCUUGUGAACCCACACAGUUUUGCAAGAGAAGUUGAGUAUUUCUGUGUGAGCAUUUUGCACUAUUGUAUUCCAUCCAUUUUAGAUGAUCUAAGUCAUAUCAAGAACAUUGUAGAUUCUGAUAUUUUUAGUAUCUAUAACAUCUGCAGUCCUUCCUUGUUCCAUCUGCAAGAUUCAUACUUAUACUUCAUAUUCAGUUUCCUAUGCCUUCAUUGGAAACAUAAAACCUUAUACAGGACCAAGGCCCACAGAAUUCCUUAAAAAAACAUACACGUUUUGAUGUGUUAGAAUGGAAUUACCCUGUGGAUACAAUUAUCCAACUAGGCUUGACCUCCUGCCCCUUCCCACAGCAGUUUCAUUUAGAACACUGUUCACUAGUGUGUCCAUGAGGAUAUUAUAGGAAAUUUCACUAAAGGCCUUGCAAGAAAUUAUAUAAAAUAAAUUCAAGCUAUGUGACAUCUCUAGCUAGUACUUCAACUUCCCUUUAAGACUUCUAGAGUGAAAUUGCUCAGGAAACUGGAAGACAUGUAAUGUGAUAUGUUAUUCUCUAAGCAAGUUUUGCAUAUUCUAGGCUGACAUUUUGCCACCCUAAAUAAUUGCACUCUCUGGUUGCUGUUGAUCUUUUAAGUAAGAUUGAUGAAAAAAGGAGAAAAAAGGGCAUUAAACUCUUCCACUUCCUUAACAUCCUCUGCACUUGCCUGUCAUAGAGUACUGGUCCAAAUUUCCAUUUGUUUUUCUCUUAUCUGUAAAAUUUAUUUUAUUUUUGAUAAGUUUUGCUAGUUGUAUCUAGUCCAUUUUAUCUUUAGUAACUUUACACCGCCUCUGUUCAUCUCCCAUGAAUGGACUAUUGUGCUGGGUUCUCAACCAGCCGUACUAGUCUCUAUUUUACAGAUACCUCUCUUACAACUGAGGUCUAUUAUAAGGUUGUGAAUUAGUUGACUUCUGCUGAAUUUCCUUACUUUCCUCUAAAACGCCAUAGUUGCUCUUGGUUCCUUACUAGGAUUUCUUGAAUGAACUGACAGCCAUUCAUAAUCUGUUUUUCCUUUACAUUUGCCUCUUAUUAGAUCUUCCCUAUCAAUUCUCUGAGUUUAUUGACAUCUGCAUUCUUGGAAUCCAGUGCUGUCGGUCACUUGGAUCAGAUGGCAGAAGAUGACCCUGUGUUCGCUGCAGUGCUGAUUUCUUGUGAAAUGUCCUAUCUGGCUGCAGACUCUGAGCUGUAUAUUACACUGCCCUCUACCUACCUGCAAAGCUGCAGUGCAGCUGAGGAAGGUUGUGACAAUUACAGUGUGUAUUAGGCCUUAAGAUUUAGACUGCUCUUCAGAAUUUAUCAGACAGAAUGGGAAGAAAAAUAUAACUUCAGAGAAACUUUCUGUAAGGUGUUAAUAACUUCCCUUGUAAUGAAUCUGAGUCAGUGUGGACAGAGGAUCUAUGCUAAUGAAGUGUUUAGAACACAAAUUCCUUGUGGUAAUAAGUACUCCAGACUAAGGUAUACAAGGAUGCUUGCUCUUCCCAGUUUAAUAAAGGUUUAGACCAUUAAGCGGUGAUUUCAUGUUGCCAUGGACAGACAGUGAGACUCACAUGUAAUGGGGGAGAGGAGGAAAAAAGGCAAUAAACUUCGCCUUAAGCAGAAAUGGCUGAUCAGACCAUACUGGACCUCUGCCUCAUAGGAACAGUGACAGAAGCUCUUAUACCUAAUGCAAAAGCAGUAAGACUUCAGGUCCUACUAAAACCCUCCAAUAUUCUCUAACGUUGGUUGAAACCACUGUAGAUACAUCAUGGACCCUCUCACAGCUCAGCUAGAGAUGAUCAAGCACUCAGACC